Molecule: long non-coding RNA, 395 nt
Filed under: Phasianus colchicus (ring-necked pheasant)
Lineage: Eukaryota; Metazoa; Chordata; Aves; Galliformes; Phasianidae
Description: lncRNA (ENSPCLG00000002764.1)
Source: RNAcentral
CAGCAGCUUUAUGCCACUUAGAUGCUUUCUGAAAGAAAUAAUAAAGUGGUACAGAAUGUCCUUCUGUCACAGCACAAAGCCAAGAGCACCUCUCCAUCUUUCCUCAGGCCGACAAAAGGGGAUGGGAUUUUCAGUGAUAUUGCUGCAUCAUAGACGCUGGCUUUCAGAUAAUGUAAAUAUGUGAGAAUGUGUUUUGUCUCAGGAAUCAAGCUGGAGGCUAAGUCUGACAUCCAUUACUAUGCUAUUGCCACAACACCAGAAAAUACUCUUCCAGCAAUUUAAUAUUUCACAUUCACUUUCAAACAUCAUAAUGCUGGGUCAGUACUUUCCUUUUCAUUUUUAGGUGAUAAAAUUUUUAUCUUCUCCUCUACCUAAUAAAACACAUGCUGCACUCA